Molecule: ribosomal RNA, 280 nt
Filed under: uncultured bacterium
Lineage: Bacteria
Description: partial 16S ribosomal RNA
Rfam family: Bacterial small subunit ribosomal RNA
Source: RNAcentral
CCCGGCCGGCCGACCGGCGCGACGGGUGACGUAACACGUAUCGCAACCGUCGGCCCGCCACAGGGGGAUAACCCGCGGAAACGCGGCCUAAUACCCCGUGACGCCACCGGAGGGCAUCCUCCGGUGGCCAAAGGAGCGAUCCGGUGGCGGAUGGGCAUGCGGCGCAUUAGCUAGACGGCGGGGUGACGGCCCACCGUGGCGACGAUGCGUAGGGGUUCUGAGAGGAAGGCCCCCCACACUGGGACUGAGACACGGCCCAGACUCCUACGGAAGGCAGCAG